This 431-nucleotide ribosomal RNA is filed under the name uncultured bacterium. RNAcentral describes it as "bacterial SSU rRNA". It matches the Rfam family "Bacterial small subunit ribosomal RNA", at positions 958 to 1392 of the family's 1533-position model. The record is from RNAcentral.
AACGCGAAGAACCUUACCUACCCUUGACAUGUCACUAACGAAGUAGAGAUACAUUAGGUGCCCGUAAGGGAAAGUGAACACAGGUGCUGCAUGGCUGUCGUCAGCUCGUGUCGUGAGAUGUUGGGUUAAGUCCCGCAACGAGCGCAACCCUUGUCUUUAGUUGCUACGCAAGAGCACUCUAAAGAGACUGCCGGUGACAAACCGGAGGAAGGUGGGGAUGACGUCAGGUCCUUAUGGCCCUUAUGGGUAGGGCUUCACACGUCAUACAAUGGUGCGUACAGAGGGUUGCCAACCCGCGAGGGGGAGCUAAUCUCUUAAAACGCAUCGUAGUCCGGAUCGUAGUCUGCAACUCGACUACGUGAAGCUGGAAUCGCUAGUAAUCGCGGAUCAGCAUGUCGCGGUGAAUACGUUCCCGGGUCUUGUACACACCG